This 235-nucleotide ribosomal RNA is filed under the name uncultured bacterium. RNAcentral describes it as "partial 16S ribosomal RNA". It matches the Rfam family "Bacterial small subunit ribosomal RNA", at positions 118 to 350 of the family's 1533-position model. The record is from RNAcentral.
UGGGCAACCUGCCCUCAGCACUGGGAUAACUACCGGGAAACCGGGGCUAAUACCGGAUACGACCUCGGUGGGCAUCCACUGAGGUGGAAAGCGUUAGUGGCUGAGGAUGGGCCCGCGGCCUAUCAGCUUGUUGGUGGGGUAACGGCCUACCAAGGCGACGACGGGUAGCUGGUCUGAGAGGACGACCAGCCACACUGGAACUGAGAUACGGUCCAGACCUCCGUACGGGGAGGCA